GGGAGAUUAAUUUGACUGAGUUAUGGUUUCAUGUAGUUUUCUUAAAUAAUGUAAUGGCAAAAAAUGGUGCUAAUUGUAUGGUAUAAAACAAGAAGGAACUAUUUUUUCUUGAUAGAAUCGUUGGUUUCAUAGAAUGAAUGACCAGUUUUUGCUUAACAACAGUGCAAAUAGUAAAACUACCAUUAUUUUCCAAUAACGGGACAGCCCGUCGCAGUUUAUUCCUUACAUAUAAUACAGUGGUAAGAAUAUAUGGCAGCAGGUGUACAGUAAUGAUAAACUGUAAUGUAGACAGGUUGUGCACUAAUAAUGAGAACUGAUAAGGACAGGUAGGAUGUAAACAGCUAGCUAACGUUAGCACCCACUGGCGCCCAACUUUGUUUUUCUUCAUUUGUGUAAGAACUUAAUUAUCAACUGCAGCCAUUUCCUCUUCUCUUUCUCAUCGCAAGGAAAGCAGUAGAAUGACAAUUGAAUAGUUUUUUUGGACUCAGAUCUAUUCAAGCAACAAGGGACUCAGCACUCAGCACUACGGCAUGUUGAAAAGACAAGAGCCUCAGCCAACGCAGUAGAGGCUUGGACCCGGAAACAGUAUUAUCGGAAGGUCGAUACGUCAUGGCUUAACAAGCGGAUAACUUAACUAUGAAACGACCUGACGUUCAAGACCGCGGCGACCGCAAGUAUGAAACAUGAAUGAUGAGCUACGUACUUUGUCAGCAUGCUGACUCUAGACGGUGAAUCAGCACCGUGCAGACCGCGCCGACCGCAAGAAGCAUGAAACACAAAUGCUGAGCUAUCUAGCUGGGUACUUUAUUAGCAUGCUAACGCCAAACGGCGGAUCAGCAAUAUACUUCAGAAUUCUUACCUGACGUCUCUGGAGAUUCGCUACCUCUUGCAUUUGCCAGUAUUUUUAUACGGUCUAUGGUUUGGCAUCACAAAUUGCCAACAGUGAUUUGCGUUUCUUUUUAGGCAUGAUGCAAACAUUCUUCAAAAAAAAAAACUCUCUUUCUUUAAUGGAUCCUGUCCAGCAUUUUCAGUUCCGUCUCUGGUGUGUGGUGUAACUCUUACCGUUGGUACAGUGGAAAGUAGUUCCGGGUGACAGUAGUUCCAGAUUCCAAAAUAAAAAGUAAAACUGCUGAUUACUUAUUUAACAUUAAAAAUUAAAUGAUGAAAAACACCGUAUGCAAUGGACGGCCCCUGAACAUUUAUUUGGGGCAAGUUUGGAGGAACUGGAGGAAUGUGGAUUGGAGGAGUGGUGGGACACACAAACACAUACACAAACCGCUCUCCAAUUAUAGUAGUAGGAUUUGUGACGCUCAUUACAGUAACUGGUUAAUGUGACACACUGGGUGAGAGGACGGCAUGGGCAGACUGUUUAAGAAAUAAGUCUGAGUGACUGGGUGCAACAGUACCCUCCUGGUCACUGACUGAGUCAUUAUACUUUGCACAGUUUGCAGUGAAUCCAUACAUGUGCAAUAAACAGGAAUUCAUUAAUUAUAGACAAAAAAAUCAGUUGCACUCUGAAAUAAGCAAUGAGGGGAAUCCUCGGUUAGUGGAAAAAAACUGAAUUGAGUUGAGAUACCUGCCAAAAUUAGAGGGAUGCAUUUUUUAGUGUAAACACACCACUUAAAAAAUCUCAAAAGACAUGCAUUUUUUAUAUGCAUGUAAGAAAUGACAUGGUGUGCAUCACUGUUUCCGGUUUUAGUUAGUUGUAGUAGUCGUGAAGAGAAUUGCGAGGAGACCUGGAUAGCAGUAGCGAUCAUGAGUGUUUUUAAGAUUAAGGAGAAACGAUUAAUAUAUCAAUGGCAAGAGAAGAAAACAUCUCUACAUUGUGUGCCUUGAUGUGCUAAUUUGUCGAGGUACAACUCAGAGAUUAGCUUUCAUCGGUUUCCAAAUGAUCCUGAGGUAUGGGCUCAGUGGCUCAUUAAGAUCCAUAGAGACAACUUUAAUCCCACUCAAAAUAUGCGCCUCUAUAGUAGGCAUUUCCAUACAGGUGAUUUCAUUGUGACAGCUGGGGGACAGAGAAGACUCAACAAAGGAGCUGUACCUUCUCUGUUUGUCUGGAACGAUUAUACCAUACCCGCACCAAGGCUUAAUGUUUGGGAACGUCGGCCGAGAUGCCCUUCCCCUGACUUAGCAGCAUCUGACUCCGACUCCGAGAUGGAAGUGCAAAUAGCGCCUGAUCACGAUUACAGCGUUACUCCGAUGACCUCAGUAAUGGCAGAUGAUUUGGCAAAUGAGAACGAAGCAUUGAAGAGAAAAAUACAGGAGCUACAAAACCAGCUUGAAACAUAGCUGCAGUCCCGCAUUGGGCUGCAACGCCUUGCAGGAUCAGACGAAGACAUUCGUUUUUAGACAAGGUUGGUCCAUGUUUUUUGGAAUAGCAUUAAAUUAACCUCUCUCUCUCUCUCUCUCUGUGAGAGAGACAGAGUCUGUCUAGUUCUGUAUGUGUGUCUAGUCGUGUGUGUGUGUGUCUGUGUCAGUCUCAGUAACGUAUAGUUAACAACCAUAAUCUAAAAAAGGCUAAAGUGAUUAUCAUUUCAUUCUAAGAUUUGCGUCAUACAAGCAUUUCCAGGCCUUUUGGCAACUAUUGGAGCCUGCUGUAAAAACUAAGAUGGUGCCAAUGCUGCCUCUGCCAACAGCAAUGAGCCAACUCAACUAAGAGCAACAAAACUUGCACCCAUAGAUGAAUUACUGCUGUUUCUGUUGCACUUGUCUGUGGGCCUGCCUCUCAGGGAUCUUGCCAACCGUUUUGCUAUUCACCGCACCACAGUCAGCAGAAUCAUUGCAACCUGGACGCACUUUCUGUACCAUCUACUUGGUUCCAUCCGCCUGUGAACACCACCAGAAGAAUUCAAAGCUCAAUUACCACCAGAGUUUUUAUCAUUCCCUGACACACAAGUGAUACUUGACUGUACAGAAAUUUUUUGCCAAACCCCCUCCUCUCUCGUUUUCCAGAGUGAGGUGUUUUCAACAUACAAAUCACACACUACAUUCAAGGCCAUGAUUGGCAUUGCACCCCAUGGUCCCAUCACCUUUGUGUCUGCGUUGUAUGCAGGUUCUAUGAGCGACCGGGAGAUUUUCGAGCUAUCUGGCAUUUCCAAACUCCUAACAGCAGACACGGCUAUUAUGGUGGACAAGGGCUUUCUUGUGGACACCCUUGUUCCCUGCAAGGUUUACCGACCUGCCUUUCUUUCAAAGAACAUCCAAAUGUGUUUGGAGGAUGUCCAGCAGACGCAGUCUGUUGCCCGCUUGAGAGUCCAUGUCGAGAGGUGUAUCCGGAGGGUUAAAGAGAACAAACUCUUUGACAAAGUCAUACCCUUACCAGUGUGUGGAAGCAUUGAUCAGCUGUUCAGUGUGGCUUGCUUACUGGUAAACUACCAGAAUGGACCACUGGUGAAGGCAUGGGCAGGUAAACAUUGGUUUGUAACUCAUGGAAGUUACAACCUAAUGACACAUUAAUGGAAUAAUGGCACUUGCAGACUGUACUGGGGUUAAGGCUGCGAUCAUAACAAAGUUAUCACUCGUUAGUAUUUAAGUCUGUUGAAAGCAGUGACCGCCAAAUAUUUACAGGUCAGCAUUGUUAACAUUGAUAGGUACAAAAAACAGAUGCCCAAAACAUUCUACAAAUUGUAAAGUAGAUCUGAGAUGGCAAGAUGUUAAUGUUAUUUUUAUCUGUUUAGAGAUAAGGGGGGAGAAUCUCAUUUUACAUUUCUGUUUUGUUUGUUGUUAUUAUAAAUGAGAUUGUAAUUAUGAAUUAAUUCAAAGAGCUUUAAGAAAAUGACAGGUGACUAUAGAGUUAUAAAGUGAUUUUUGAAUAAAUAAGGUCCUCUUUAGUAAAGAGGAUAAAAUCUGUUAAAAUACUCUACUGGCUUAUUCUAAUAAAGUCAAAUGCAACAACCAUA
This is a long non-coding RNA of Anguilla anguilla (European eel), 3899 nucleotides long. RefSeq lists it as uncharacterized. NCBI's taxonomy places the organism in Eukaryota, Metazoa, Chordata, Actinopteri, Anguilliformes, Anguillidae. The record is from RefSeq and is a predicted model, not a curated record. The transcript has 2 exons.